UGGGGGAUAUUGCACAAUGGGCGAAAGCCUGAUGCAGCGACGCCGCGUGGGGGAUGAAGGCCUUCGGGUUGUAAACUUCUUUUGCUCUGAACAAGGCGCACCAUGGGGUGUGUUGAGUGUAGGGGUUGAUUAGCGCCGGCUAACUACGUGCCAGCAGCCGCGGUAAUACGUAGGGCGCGAGCGUUGUCCGGAAUUAUUGGGCGUAAAGGGCUUGUAGGUGGCUGGUUGCGUCUGUCGUGAAAGCUCAUGGCUUAUCUGUGGGUUUGCGGUGGGUACGGGCUGGCGUGAGUGCAGUAGGGGAGGCUGGAAUUCCUGGUGUAGCGGUGGAAUGCGCAGAUAUCAGGAGGAAUACCGGUGGCGAAGGCGGGUCUCUGGGCUGUUACUGACACUGAGGAGCGAAAGCAUGGGGAGCGAACAGG
RNAcentral lists this ribosomal RNA (419 nucleotides) under bacterium. RNAcentral's name for it is "partial 16S ribosomal RNA". It matches the Rfam family "Bacterial small subunit ribosomal RNA", at positions 355 to 776 of the family's 1533-position model. The record is from RNAcentral.